UCGAACGAAGCACCUUACCGGAUUCUUCGGAUGAAAGUUUGGUGACUGAGCGGCGGACGGGUGAGUAACGCGUGGGUAACCUGCCCUGUACAGGGGGAUAACAGCUGGAAACGGCUGCUAAUACCGCAUAAGCGCACGAGGAGACAUCUCCUUGUGUGAAAAACUCCGGUGGUACAGGAUGGGCCCGCGUCUGAUUAGCUGGUUGGCAGGGUAACGGCCUACCAAGGCAACGAUCAGUAGCCGGUCUGAGAGGAUGAACGGCCACAUUGGAACUGAGACACGGUCCAAACUCCUACGGGAGGCAGCAGUGGGGAAUAUUGCACAAUGGGGGAAACCCUGAUGCAGCAACGCCGCGUGAGUGAAGAAGUAUUUCGGUAUGUAAAGCUCUAUCAGCAGGGAAGAUAAUGACGGUACCUGACUAAGAAGCUCCGGCUAAAUACGUGCCAGCAGCCGCGGUAAUACGUAUGGAGCAAGCGUUAUCCGGAUUUACUGGGUGUAAAGGGUGCGUAGGUGGCAGUGCAAGUCAGAUGUGAAAGGCCGGGGCUCAACCCCGGAGCUGCAUUUGAGACUGCUCGGCUAGAGUACAGGAGAGGCAGGCGGAAUUCCUAGUGUAGCGGUGAAAUGCGUAGAUAUUAGGAGGAACACCAGUGGCGAAGGCGGCCUGCUGGAC
RNAcentral lists this ribosomal RNA (670 nucleotides) under uncultured bacterium. RNAcentral's name for it is "bacterial SSU rRNA". It matches the Rfam family "Bacterial small subunit ribosomal RNA", at positions 62 to 734 of the family's 1533-position model. The record is from RNAcentral.